GCCCCGGUAGCUCAGCUGGGAGUUAUUACCAAAAGCGCCCGGCUGAAGACCGGGUUGUCGGUGGUUCAAAAACAUAAUAUGUUGAAACUCCGCCCCGGGGCA
Molecule: transfer RNA, 102 nt
Filed under: Candidatus Bathyarchaeota archaeon
Lineage: Archaea; Thermoproteati; Candidatus Bathyarchaeota
Description: tRNA-Phe
Source: RNAcentral